RNAcentral lists this ribosomal RNA (253 nucleotides) under uncultured bacterium. RNAcentral describes it as "partial 16S ribosomal RNA". It matches the Rfam family "Bacterial small subunit ribosomal RNA", at positions 524 to 776 of the family's 1533-position model. The record is from RNAcentral.
UACGGAGGGGGCGAGCGUUGUUCGGAAUCACUGGGCGUAAAGCGUACGUAGGCGGCUAUGCAAGUCAGGAGUGAAAUCCCAGGGCUUAACCCUGGAACUGCUUUUGAAACUGCAUAGCUGGAGUCCCGGAGGGGUUGGCGGAAUUCCGAGUGUAGAGGUGAAAUUCGCAGAUAUUCGGAGGAACAUCAGUGGCGAAGGCGGCCAACUGGACGGGUACUGACGCUGAGGUACGAAAGCGUGGGGAGCAAACAGG